Molecule: ribosomal RNA, 260 nt
Filed under: uncultured bacterium
Lineage: Bacteria
Description: partial 16S ribosomal RNA
Rfam family: Bacterial small subunit ribosomal RNA
Source: RNAcentral
UGGGGAAUAUUGCACAAUGGGCGAAAGCCUGAUGCAGCAACGCCGCGUGAGUGAUGAAGGUCUUCGGAUUGUAAAGCUCUGUCUUUUGGGACGAUAAUGACGGUACCAAAGGAGGAAGCCACGGCUAACUACGUGCCAGCAGCCGCGGUAAUACGUAGGUGGCGAGCGUUGUCCGGAUUUACUGGGCGUAAAGGGUGCGUAGGCGGAUGUUUAAGUGAGAUGUGAAAUACCCGGGCUUAACUUGGGUGCUGCAUUUCAAA